GAUGAACGCUGGCGGUAUGCUUAACACAUGCAAGUCGAACGGACUCUUCGGAGUUAGUGGCGGACGGGUGAGUAACGCGUGAGAAUCUGGCUUUGGGUUCGGGACAACCACUGGAAACGGUGGCUAAUACCGGAUGUGCCGAGAGGUAAAAGAGAAAUUGCCUGAAGAUGAGCUCGCGUCUGGUUAGCUAGUUGGUGAGGUAAAGGCUCACCAAGGCAGCGAUCAGUAGCUGGUCUGAGAGGAUGACCAGCAACACUGGGACUGAGACACGGCCCAGACGCCUACGGGAGGAAGCAGUGGGGAAGUAUCCGCAAUGGGCGAAAGCCUGACGGAGCAAUACCGCGUGAGGGAAGAAGGCUCUUGGGGUGUAAACCUCUUUUCUUAGGGAAGAACAAAAUGACGGUACCUAAGGAAUCAGCAUCGGCUAACUCCGUG
RNAcentral lists this ribosomal RNA (435 nucleotides) under uncultured bacterium. RNAcentral's name for it is "partial 16S ribosomal RNA". It matches the Rfam family "Bacterial small subunit ribosomal RNA", at positions 28 to 507 of the family's 1533-position model. The record is from RNAcentral.